This 407-nucleotide ribosomal RNA is filed under the name uncultured bacterium. RNAcentral's name for it is "partial 16S ribosomal RNA". It matches the Rfam family "Bacterial small subunit ribosomal RNA", at positions 28 to 526 of the family's 1533-position model. The record is from RNAcentral.
GACGAACGCUGGCGGCGCGCUUAACACAUGCAAGUCGAGCGAAGCGGCGGACGGGUGAGUAACACGUGAGUAACCUGCCUUAGACAUUGGGAUAGCCUCGGGAAACCGGGAUUAAUACCAAAUGGUCUAAGAUGGACUCGCGUCCCAUUAGUUAGUUGGUGAGGUAACGGCCCACCAAGGCGACGAUGGGUAGCCGGCCUGAGAGGGUGAGCGGACACAUUUGAGCUGGGAAGCGGUCCAAACUCUACGGGAGGCAGCAGUGGGGGAUAGUGCACAAUGGAGGGAGCUCUGAUGCUGUGACGCCGCGUGAACGAAGGAGGCUUUCGAGUCGUAAAGUUCUUUUAUAUGGGAAGCGGUACCAAAAGAGAAAGCCCCGGCUAACUACGUGCCAGCAGCCGCGGUAAUAC